RNAcentral lists this non-coding RNA (30 nucleotides) under Mus musculus (house mouse). The record is from RNAcentral. Lineage: Eukaryota; Metazoa; Chordata; Mammalia; Rodentia; Muridae.
UUGAAGGCCACGAAAUCUCCCUAAGCCUGU